This 506-nucleotide ribosomal RNA is filed under the name uncultured bacterium. Its description in RNAcentral is "partial 16S ribosomal RNA". It matches the Rfam family "Bacterial small subunit ribosomal RNA", at positions 28 to 523 of the family's 1533-position model. The record is from RNAcentral.
GAUGAACGCUAGCUACAGGCUUAACACAUGCAAGUCGAGGGGUAACGAGAGGAAAGCUUGCUUUCCUUGUCGACGACCGGCGCACGGGUGAGUAACGCGUAUCCAACCUGCCCCCAACUAGGGAAUAACCUUGCGAAAGUAAGACUAAUACCCUAUAAUUUCCUCAGAUGUCAUCUGACGAGGAAUAAAGAUUUAUCGGUUGUGGAUGGGGAUGCGUCUGAUUAGCUUGUUGGCGGGGUAACGGCCCACCAAGGCAACGAUCAGUAGGGGUUCUGAGAGGAAGAUCCCCACCAUUGGGAAUGAGACACGGUCCAAACUCCUACGGGAGGCAGCAGUGAGGAAUAUUGGUCAAUGGGCGGAAGCCUGAACCAGCCAAGUAGCGUGCAGGAUGACGGCCCUAUGGGUUGUAAACUGCUUUUAUACAGGAAUAAAGUCAGCCACGUGUGGUUAUUUGUAGGUACUGUAUGAAUAAGGACCGGCUAAUUCCGUGCCAGCAGCCGCUGUAA